This 288-nucleotide long non-coding RNA is filed under the name Nicotiana benthamiana. Its description in RNAcentral is "long non-coding RNA (NBEN_LNC030910)". The record is from RNAcentral. Lineage: Eukaryota; Viridiplantae; Streptophyta; Magnoliopsida; Solanales; Solanaceae.
UGAGUAGUUUGUAUAGAUGAUGGCCUGAGGGAUUGAAACCCCGGCUUAUCACAUCGUGACUCUAUGUUAGGGCGUGACUCGCACCCCAUGGUAGGUGCGGGGUUGUAAAUGAUUGGGAUAUGUGACAUGGUCCAUCCCAUGAGCAGAAUAAAUUAUCGGCAUCUGAUACGCACAUUUUGUUGUUGAUAAUUGGGCUUAAUGCCAUGUUUGGGGCCUCGUGCUGAUCUAUAGUACCCAUCUAGGGUGAAUAUCUGUGUGAUAACAUGAUUUCAUAAUUAUUGAUCUCAG